GCUGGUUCUCCCCGAAAGCUAUUUAGGUAGCGCCUCGUGAAUUCAUCUCCGGGGGUAGAGCACUGUUUCGGCAAGGGGGUCAUCCCGACUUACCAACCCGAUGCAAACUGCGAAUACCGGAGAAUGUUAUCACGGGAGACACACGGCGGGUGCUAACGUCCGUCGUGAAGAGGGAAACAACCCAGACCGCCAGCUAAGGUCCCAAAGUCAUGGUUAAGUGGGAAACGAUGUGGGAAGGCCCAGACAGCCAGGAUGUUGGCUUAGAAGCAGCCAUCAUUUAAAGAAAGCGUAAUAGCUCACUGGUCGAGUCGGCCUGCGCGGAAGAUGUAACGGGGCUAAACCAUGCACCGAAGCUGCGGCAGCGACGCUGAUGCGUUGUUGGGUAGGGGAGCGUUCUGUAAGCCUGUGAAGGUGUGCUGUGAGGCAUGCUGGAGGUAUCAGAAGUGCGAAUGCUGACAUAAGUAACGAUAAAGCGGGUGAAAAGCCCGCUCGCCGGAAGACCAAGGGUUCCUGUCCAACGUUAAUCGGGGCAGGGUGAGUCGACCCCUAAGGCGAGGCCGAAAGGCGUAGUCGAUGGGAAACAGGUUAAUAUUCCUGUACUUGGUGUUACUGCGAAGGGGGGACGGAGAAGGCUAUGUUGGCCGGGCGACGGUUGUCCCGGUUUAAGCGUGUAGGCUGGUUUUCCAGGCAAAUCCGGAAAAUCAAGGCUGAGGCGUGAUGACGAGGCACUACGGUGCUGAAGCAACAAAUGCCCUGCUUCCAGGAAAAGCCUCUAAGCAUCAGGUAACAUCAAAUCGUACCCCAAACCGACACAGGUGGUCAGGUAGAGAAUACCAAGGCGCUUGAGAGAACUCGGGUGAAGGAACUAGGCAAAAUGGUGCCGUAACUUCGGGAGAAGGCACGCUGAUAUGUAGGUGAAGUCCCUCGCGGAUGGAGCUGAAAUCAGUCGAAGAUACCAGCUGGCUGCAACUGUUUAUUAAAAACACAGCACUGUGCAAACACGAAAGUGGACGUAUACGGUGUGACGCCUGCCCGGUGCCGGAAGGUUAAUUGAUGGGGUCAGCGCAAGCGAAGCUCUUGAUCGAAGCCCCGGUAAACGGCGGCCGUAACUAUAACGGUCCUAAGGUAGCGAAAUUCCUUGUCGGGUAAGUUCCGACCUGCACGAAUGGCGUAAUGAUGGCCAGGCUGUCUCCACCCGAGACUCAGUGAAAUUGAACUCGCUGUGAAGAUGCAGUGUACCCGCGGCAAGACGGAAAGACCCCGUGAACCUUUACUAUAGCUUGACACUGAACAUUGAGCCUUGAUGUGUAGGAUAGGUGGGAGGCUUUGAAGUGUGGACGCCAGUCUGCAUGGAGCCGACCUUGAAAUACCACCCUUUAAUGUUUGAUGUUCUAACGUUGACCCGUAAUCCGGGUUGCGGACAGUGUCUGG
Molecule: ribosomal RNA, 1431 nt
Filed under: Escherichia coli FBP1
Lineage: Bacteria; Pseudomonadati; Pseudomonadota; Gammaproteobacteria; Enterobacterales; Enterobacteriaceae
Description: bacterial LSU rRNA
Rfam family: Bacterial large subunit ribosomal RNA
Source: RNAcentral